RNAcentral lists this ribosomal RNA (730 nucleotides) under uncultured bacterium. Its description in RNAcentral is "SSU rRNA". It matches the Rfam family "Bacterial small subunit ribosomal RNA", at positions 508 to 1245 of the family's 1533-position model. The record is from RNAcentral.
CCAGCCGCCGCGGUAAUACGGAGGGUCCGAGCGUUAUCCGGAAUCAUUGGGUUUAAAGGGUCCGCAGGCGGUCAAUUAAGUCAGAGGUGAAAUCCCAUAGCUUAACUAUGGAACUGCCUUUGAUACUGGUUGACUUGAGUCAUAUGGAAGUAGAUAGAAUGUGUAGUGUAGCGGUGAAAUGCAUAGAUAUUACACAGAAUACCGAUUGCGAAGGCAGUCUACUACGUAUGUACUGACGCUGAGGGACGAGAGCGUGGGGAGCGAACAGGAUUAGAUACCCUGGUAGUCCACGCCGUAAACGAUGGAUACUAGUUGUUGGGCAUUAGCUCAGUGACUAAGCGAAAGUGAUAAGUAUCCCACCUGGGGAGUACGGUCGCAAGACUGAAACUCAAAGGAAUUGACGGGGGCCCGCACAAGCGGUGGAGCAUGUGGUUUAAUUCGAUGAUACGCGAGGAACCUUACCAGGGCUUAAAUGUAGUCUGACAGCUUUAGAGAUAGAGUUUUCUUCGGACAGAUUACAAGGUGCUGCAUGGUUGUCGUCAGCUCGUGCCGUGAGGUGUCAGGUUAAGUCCUAUAACGAGCGCAACCCCUGUCAUUAGUUGCCAGCAUGUAAAGAUGGGGACUCUAAUGAGACUGCCGGUGCAAACCGCGAGGAAAGUGGGGAUGACGUCAAAUCAUCACGGCCCUUACGUCCUGGGCCCACACACGUGCUACAUGGUAUGGACAAUGA